Molecule: ribosomal RNA, 468 nt
Filed under: uncultured bacterium
Lineage: Bacteria
Description: partial 16S ribosomal RNA
Rfam family: Bacterial small subunit ribosomal RNA
Source: RNAcentral
GACGAACGCUGGCGGCGUGCUUAACACAUGCAAGUCGAACGGAAAGGCCCUGCUUUUGUGGGGUGCUCGAGUGGCGAACGGGUGAGUAACACGUGAGUAACCUGCCCUUGACUUUGGGAUAACUUCAGGAAACUGGGGCUAAUACCGGAUAGGAGCUCCUGCUGCAUGGUGGGGGUUGGAAAGUUUCGGCGGUUGGGGAUGGACUCGCGGCUUAUCAGCUUGUUGGUGGGGUAGUGGCUUACCAAGGCUUUGACGGGUAGCCGGCCUGGGAGGGUGACCGGCCACAUUGGGACUGAGAGACGGCCCAGACUCGUACGGGAGGCAGCGGUGGGGAGUAUUGCACAAUGGGCGGAAGCCUGAUGCAGAAACGCCGCGUGCGGGAUGACGGCCUUCGGGUUGUAAACCGCUUUCGCCUGUGACGAAGCGUGAGUGACGGUAAUGGGUAAAGAAGCACCGGCUAACUACGUG